AGACUCGACGGCGGGAGAAGUAACGGGAGAGGGUCCCGACGGCAGGGGCAAACACCAGGGCCCAGCCGGAGCCUGUGAAUGGCAAGGACGCCCAGGCCAAGGUAGAGGUGUAGCAGACUGCCGGCAAAAGCCGAGAAGAUGAAGCCGAGUGAGCCCCCGAAAAAGCAAGGAAAGAAUGCCACCCUGCCCAUGGCCACGCAUCUGCCGCCUGCUGCACACGGAGAAGACGCGUGGAUUGCAAUCCCCAGCAAGCUCAAGGUGCCAGUGGAUAUGCUGAAUUGUUUCAGUAAAGAUAAUUCUAUGUGUGAAGUGAACAAGCUACAGCAAAGCGUUAGGAACAGCUGCAGUGGAAAUAUGAGCCACC
Molecule: long non-coding RNA, 364 nt
Organism: Rhinolophus ferrumequinum (greater horseshoe bat)
Lineage: Eukaryota; Metazoa; Chordata; Mammalia; Chiroptera; Rhinolophidae
Exons: 4
Source: RefSeq, a predicted model, not a curated record